GGUAUGCCAAUAUGGUCAAAGAUUGAAUCAGGAAAAGUUCCCAAGUAUCCUGAGCUGGUCCAGAUUCUUGAAAACACCAUGAAACUAAGUUACAGACAGAUCUAAUGUUAUGUACUAAGGACAGAACAAACCGACUGUUCUCCUUUGUACGUGUAUGAACCUGAUGUCUUUCGUUGCCUGCAGUUUUAUGCCUUUACGAAGCUUCUCACUUCCCACCAAUUCAUUUCAAGAGACAGAUGUUUGCAUUUGUGAUCCCUAAUAAACACAGACUUAAUUUGAACUCUUUGCUAUAUGGAAGUGGGAAUCUUCUACAACAGGCCAACCUCCAAUCCAGUGUAUGACUAUAUGAAGGCCGGGGUGGAAAGCUUCACGGGGCAAGCCACGGCUGGAUGUGCAUCUGUUUUUUGACGGGAAACGGAUGCGUCCACCAACGGAGGAUAAACCUGCUAUACACAACAGAAUACAUCAGAUUGAAGUAUAUUUAAUAAUCGUAUUAUAUUCUAUGAUACAUGUUAUUUUUACCUCUCUCCAAUGUAUUUCUUGAAAUAUUUUUUCUUUGUGAAAUUGUAUAGCUAUUGGAUGUGUGAACUUUUGAUGGUAUUGAGUCUACAUGUAGUUCUAUUACCUAAGUUCAUUCUCUUUUGUUCUACAUGUACCUAAUUUUUAACUACAUUUCUGUCUCUAUAUUUCUAUAGAGCUUCUCUAUUUUGGUGGGAGUCAAUUGUCAUAAAGGUGUGAUACUUCUAAAUUUAUUUUAUUUUCAUGAAAAUGAUUUGUGUAGACAAAACGUUGAUUUUAAAGCAUUUUCGACCUUGUAUUUUCAUACAUAUUGGCAGUGUCAUGGGGAAGGGGGUGGUAAUCGGUGGUUAUAAGUUAUAGCGAUUGGUCGAAAUGUACAUGUUUAAUAGCAGUUCUAUUCUCAAAAUAAUAUUUUUUAUUAAAUGUUGUUUAAAAAAUAUAUGAAAUCACUGAUUUUUUUUGUGCGUGUGCAAACAAAUUUCGAUUGUUUUUCCACCAUCAUAUUAAAUGUUUCUUGUAGAUAUUGGUUUUCAUCGUGAAUUAUUCUGCAAAAAUCGUUUUAUUGAUAAAAUUUAGGUAUUGUGUGGGAAAUUUGAAAGUUAGUGAAUUAUGUUUUUUGAUGAUGUUGAAAUUAAAUCAUUUUAUUGAUAUAAUUCAUGGAUUGUUUUGUAAAUUUGAAGGCAGCAAUUCAUGUUUUUUGUGAUGGUAGAUGAGAUCGUGUAGAGCAGGUAGGUGUUUCAUAAAGCUGUUUGUAAGUUACAAGCGACUUUACAAACGACUGGUGAUCCUUUCUUGUAGUUGGUAAUACAAGCUGGAUUUUCCAUUGGCCUUGAUCUAGUUCCUAAGAAAGGGUCACCAGUCAAUACAGUACAUAAUAUACACAAGAGAAGUAACAUUGUUCUUUUAUGAUCAGUAAAUGAAAUGUGCAAUAAAAGCCAUGAAUGUUAAUCCCCUCCUUUUUUUCAGAACAGUGAUAAGUAUCAAGAUGUUUUUUUUUGGGGGGGUGAAAAUCUUGAAAAAUCUUUUUAGCGAAAUAGAAGUCCACUCUAGGCUAGGAUUCAAAAUGAUUCAAUCGCUGUACAGCACAAAUAUGUAUACUUCAUGAUGAUUGUGUGAUUUUAUUAUUUUUUUUCAUUAAAUUGAUAGUGAAGCAAAAGUAAAAAUUUGUAGCUUCAGUAUUUGGAUGGAAUACAAGUGGAUCAUGUGUGCAUUUUAAUACAGGUUGAUCAAUAGUGUGUGGAGGAUCUGCAUGCGAAUGAAAUACAGAUUCAAACAUUGUAUAUUUUGUAAUUAUUGUUUUAUUAUAUUAACAUAAAAAAAUUGACCUGGUUUCAUUGAGGUAUAAUUAUGAAAUACAUGUAUAGUAUUAUUAAUAGUAUGUAUUGAUCCAUUAUCAUGUAAAAAUAUCAGCUUAUUCUUGAACACAUGAGAGGAGCCAUUUUUUAAAGGAGAAUGAAACCCUUGAAACCAGCUGAAUCCAUAUCAAAGAAACAUAUUGUUGAAAGUUUGAGGAAGAUUGAAUGAAUAAUAAGAAAGUUAUAAGCAUUUGAAUAUUGAGAUCACUAAUGCCAUGUAGAUCCUCCCAAUUGGCAAUGCGACCAAGAUCUGUGCUGUCACACACGUACAACUCCCUCAUUACUUUAGUACUUAUUUCACUUAUAUUCUCACUUUUAUAGAAUCUAUCACAAGGUGAGGUGUUCUCUUUAUGAGAGGACAAGUACAUGUACAGAGGUUUCACAACAUUAUAUCAUUGAUGAAUUGUUUGUCAUAUGAUUAGAAUGAGCAAAAAGAGAUGUUUUGGGGUAUAUUUUCAGUGUCCAAAAGGGGAGAGUUGUUCAUCUGUGACAUCAUAGAUCUUGGUCGCAUUGCCAAUGGGAGGAUCUCCAUAGCAUUAGUGAUCUCGACAUUCAAAUGCUCAUAACUCUUCUAUUGCUAGUCCUAUUUUACUCAAACUUUUGUUGAUCUUAUUCUUUGAUUUUUCUGCUUUCACAAAAGCUAACUUGCUCCAAGAGUUUCAUUCUCCUUUAAGUACUAAAGUGGCUAUGAAUAAUGGUCGGUAUCAAUGGUUCAAAGAAGAGAGUCAGAUUCAAGGAAAAUAUAAAACAAAUAAUUUGUGCUUUUCCAUGCCCCAUCAUGCAUCAUCAGAAUCAAUAGUGCAAACAUGUACAUGUAGUAAGAUUCAAAGAAGAUGUAAAACAAAUGUGCUUUUCACAAUAUAAGCGACACCAACGCAAAGUUCAGUAUCACGAGAGGCUUGUUUUCCCUGUUGCUAGAAACUUGCAAUUGAUUGCAAGUCAAUUUUUGGUCCACUAUUCAAUCAUAAGUCUUGUAAUUAAUUGCAAUUUCUUAAUUGAUCGCUAGUCUGCUUCUUAUAUCAACAAAUAUUAACUUUAGUUGAUAUUGUUCCUAUCAAUUGUAAUGGAAUUUGCCAUUGAUUGAAUGCAAAUAUAUUUUCUUGAAACACACCAUUAAUUGCAUGGGCAGGGAGUAAGAAUCAAACAAUUUCAAAAUAUUUUAAUGAUUGAUAAAUCCCAAACAAACACAGGGAAAAAUGAGGAUAAAACAACUGGUAUAUAAACUACUAAUGAGAUCCCUGGAAAAGUAGUGUUUAAAAUGUAAAUGAGGCUUGUAAUUAUCAAUCACUUUGAGAGAGAAACACUGAUUAACAUGUUGAGUAAACCGGUCAACCACUCUCUGAUUUUUACCUAGUACAUGUAUUAGUGAUGUCACCAUUAGAGCGCAACUUCAGCGCAUGUUACAGUGUAUUAUGAAACACACAAGUGGCCGUCCCCGAGAAUUAAUUUAUCAUGCAAUAAAUUCAUAUAAGGGAUCCUCUUUUUUUUUUAACUGAAUUUUCACUAAUGCCUUUGUCUAUUCUGCAGUUUGCUUAUGUUUAACAUCAUUAAUUCAUUAAUUUUUAUGGAUAGGGUAGGGAUAAUGGUCUAUUUAUCAAAUAAUAUUGACUCUUUUUCAAUUCUUUACAAAUUGACUUGGAACGUGUAUCACAUAUGUAUGUUAUUUUAUUAAAUGCAAUGAUUCGGAUGACUUGGAA
Long non-coding RNA from Lytechinus pictus (painted urchin), 3571 nucleotides. RefSeq lists it as uncharacterized. NCBI's taxonomy places the organism in Eukaryota, Metazoa, Echinodermata, Echinoidea, Temnopleuroida, Toxopneustidae. The transcript is spliced from 2 exons. The record is from RefSeq and is a predicted model, not a curated record.